Molecule: ribosomal RNA, 492 nt
Filed under: uncultured bacterium
Lineage: Bacteria
Description: bacterial SSU rRNA
Rfam family: Bacterial small subunit ribosomal RNA
Source: RNAcentral
AAAGGAAUAGACGGGAGCCCGCACAAGCAGUGGAGUAUGUGGUUUAAUUCGACGCAACGCGAAGAACCUUACCAGGAUUUGACAUCCCCUGACCACGGCGUAAUGGCCGGUCUCGGACUUCGGUCUGACAGGGUGACAGGUGGUGCAUGGUUGUCGUCAGCUCGUGUCGUGAGAUGUUGGGUUAAGUCCCGCAACGAGCGCAACCCUUACGGUUAGUUGCUACGCAAGAGCACUCUAGCCGGACUGCCGUUGACAAAACGGAGGAAGGUGGGGAUGACGUCAAAUCAUCAUGCCCCUUAUAUUCUGGGCUACACACGUACUACAAUGGCGAGAACAAAGGGAAGCAAUACCGCGAGGUGGAGCAAAUCUCAUAAAAAUCGUCCCAGUUCGGAUAGCAGGCUGCAACCCGCCUGCUUGAAGUUGGAAUUGCUAGUAAUCGCGGGUCAGCAUACCGCGGUGAAUACGUUCCCGGGCUUUGUACACACCGCCCGU